RNAcentral lists this ribosomal RNA (351 nucleotides) under Triticum aestivum (bread wheat). RNAcentral describes it as "partial small subunit ribosomal RNA". Lineage: Eukaryota; Viridiplantae; Streptophyta; Magnoliopsida; Poales; Poaceae. The record is from RNAcentral.
AUGUAUUCCUCACCCUUCAACAAUGGAGAAGGAGACAUAAGGUCGGUUCAGGAAGAUCUAAGGAGGGAUGAAGUUGAAGAGGUUGUUAUGAAGGAAGAAGAGGAAAGUCCCUUCGGGAUUCACCCUCGAGCCUUCGAGAGGGGUACACUAGCUGGCAUCUCUACUCACCCUGAUCUUCAUCAAGCCAUGGGAUCAUCGAACAAUCAAGCGAGCCUGGAAAUGCAAGAAAAGCUCCCACCAAGGAGGCCCUUACACAGGUUACAUCAUAACAAUUUUCAUAAUUUGAUUCACAAUUAUGGUUUUGAGAACACUCCUCGUAGGCACAUACCGUCCAACUGGGACAUAUCCUAG